CUCAUAAACAUGAUACAACCACCACAAUUGAAUAUAUAAACAUCCAUACAUUCAUACAUUCAAGCAUUCGUAUACCAUUUACAUUCAAAUUCACUUUUAGAGUUUUAAUCAUAAAUUCAAAACUAUUGGUUUUAAAAUGUUUCCUACCCAGAAACUCCUUUUGAAAUACUAAUUAAUGAAAACCACGAAAAAACCUUUUCAAAACCGUUUCCGACACGGAAACCCUUUUUCUUUAAAAUACGCUACCACGAAGGGUAGAAAGCUGUUUUCGUCUCAAGAAAAACCAUAAGUUCUUUAAUUCAGUUACCAAAAUCACGUUUAUCCAAGUAAACAAAAUCAACUGAACCAAUAUGUCUAAGUUAUAUCAACAGAAAUAAAAA
RNAcentral lists this long non-coding RNA (380 nucleotides) under Ananas comosus (pineapple). RNAcentral describes it as "long non-coding RNA (ACOM_LNC009248)". The record is from RNAcentral. Lineage: Eukaryota; Viridiplantae; Streptophyta; Magnoliopsida; Poales; Bromeliaceae.